GUUGGAAGCGACACCGAAGACUGGAGGGCCGUCGUUGUCCGUCCAUGCCUUCCAAGAUACGAUAAGAAAACAUUUCUUUGAAGAACUAAACGGACAGCUGCACAGAGAGGAUGAGGACCUCUUCCCAGUCCAUUAUCCUACUCAAACAUUUCCUCCAUGGAGCUGCAGGGCCUUGUGAAGUGUGUCACCACUGAGGAUGAAAGCGGAAGACGGGAGGCGAACAAGUUCCUGAACGCCAUCUUUCCAGAGAGGAACGGGAGCUGCUACAGAGGCAGCGGGUGGAGAAGACUGAACAACAGGAGAGACUCCGGAUGUUCAGAGAGGAAGAAGAG
Pogona vitticeps (central bearded dragon) is the source of this 332-nucleotide non-coding RNA. The record is from RefSeq and is a predicted model, not a curated record. NCBI's taxonomy places the organism in Eukaryota, Metazoa, Chordata, Lepidosauria, Squamata, Agamidae.